UUACGAAACGAAAAAGGUUCUUCUCUUAUAAAAGAGGGCCCACGACGGUACCGUAAGAAUAAGCACCGGCUAACUACGUGCCAGCAGCCGCGGUAAUACGUAGGGUGCAAGCGUUAAUCGGAAUUACUGGGCGUAAAGCGUGCGCAGGCGGUUAUGUAAGACAGAUGUGAAAUCCCCGGGCUCAACCUGGGAACUGCAUUAGUGACUGCAUAGCUGGAGUGCGGCAGAGGGGGGUGGAAUUCCGCGUGUAGCAGUGAAAUGCGUAGAUAUGCGGAGGAACACCGAUGGCGAAGGCAAUCCCCUGGGCCUGCACUGACGCUCAUGCACGAAAGCGUGGGGAGCAAACAGGAUUAGAUACCCUGGUAGUCCACGCCCUAAACGAUGUCAACUGGUUGUUGGGAAUUCACUUUCUCAGUAACGAAGCUAACGCGUGAAGUUGACCGCCUGGGGAGUACGGCCGCAAGGUUAAAACUCAAAGGAAUUGACGGGGACCCGCACAAGCGGUGGAUGAUGUGGUUUAAUUCGAUGCAACGCGAAAAACCUUACCCACCUUUGACAUGUAUGGAAGAUCGCAGAGACGCGAUUGUGCUCGAAAGAGAGCCAUAACACAGGUGCUGCAUGGCCGUCGUCAGCUCGUGUCGUGAGAUGUUGGGUUAAGUCCCGCAACGAGCGCAACCCUUGCCAUUAGUUGCUACAUCCAGUUGGGCACUCUAAUGGGACUGCCGGUGACAAACCGGAGGAAGGUGGGGAUGACGUCAAGUCCUCAUGGCCCUUAUAGGUGGGGCUACACACGUCAUACAAUGGCUGGUACAAAGGGUUGCCAACCCGCGAGGGGGAGCUAAUCCCAUAAAGCCAGUCGUAGUCCGGAUCGCAGUCUGCAACUCGACUGCGUGAAGUCGGAAUCGCUAGUAAUCGUGGAUCAGAAUGUCACGGUGAAUACGUUCCCGGGUCUUGUACACACCGCCCGUCACACCAUGGGAGCGGGUUCUGCCAGAAGUAGUUAGCCUAACCGCAAGGAGGGCGAUA
RNAcentral lists this ribosomal RNA (1026 nucleotides) under uncultured bacterium. RNAcentral describes it as "bacterial SSU rRNA". It matches the Rfam family "Bacterial small subunit ribosomal RNA", at positions 438 to 1455 of the family's 1533-position model. The record is from RNAcentral.